Molecule: ribosomal RNA, 465 nt
Filed under: Vreelandella stevensii
Lineage: Bacteria; Pseudomonadati; Pseudomonadota; Gammaproteobacteria; Oceanospirillales; Halomonadaceae
Description: partial 16S ribosomal RNA
Rfam family: Bacterial small subunit ribosomal RNA
Source: RNAcentral
CCUACGGGAGGCUGCAGUGGGGAAUAUUGGACAAUGGGGGGAACCCUGAUCCAGCCAUGCCGCGUGUGUGAAGAAGGCCCUCGGGUUGUAAAGCACUUUCAGUGAGGAAGAACGCCUGGUGGUUAAUACCCAUCAGGAAAGACAUCACUCACAGAAGAAGCACCGGCUAACUCCGUGCCAGCAGCCGCGGGAAUACGGAGGGUGCGAGCGUUAAUCGGAAUUACUGGGCGUAAAGCGCGCGUAGGUGGCUUGAUAAGCCGGUUGUGAAAGCCCCGGGCUCAACCUGGGAACGGCAUCCGGAACUGUCAAGCUAGAGUGCAGGAGAGGAAGGUAGAAUUCCCGGUGUAGCGGUGAAAUGCGUAGAGAUCGGGAGGAAUACCAGUGGCGAAGGCGGCCUUCUGGACUGACACUGACACUGAGGUGCGAAAGCGUGGGUAGCAAACAGGAUUAGAUACCCUUGUAGUC